CAGCAGCCGCGGGAAUACGUAGGAUGCGAGCGUUAAUCGGAAUUACUGGGCGUAAAGCGUGCGCAGGCGGUUUUGUAAGACAGGCGUGAAAUCCCCGGGCUCAACCUGGGAAUGGCGCUUGUGACUGCAAAGCUAGAGUGCGGCAGAGGGGGAUGGAAUUCCGCGUGUAGCAGUGAAAUGCGUAGAUAUGCGGAGGAACACCGAUGGCGAAGGCAAUCCCCUGGGCCUGCACUGACGCUCAUGCACGAAAGCGUGGGGAGCAAACAGGAUUAGAUACCCCUGUAGUCCCUGUCUCUUAUAA
RNAcentral lists this ribosomal RNA (301 nucleotides) under uncultured bacterium. RNAcentral describes it as "partial 16S ribosomal RNA". It matches the Rfam family "Bacterial small subunit ribosomal RNA", at positions 509 to 809 of the family's 1533-position model. The record is from RNAcentral.